Molecule: ribosomal RNA, 265 nt
Filed under: uncultured archaeon
Lineage: Archaea
Description: partial 16S ribosomal RNA
Rfam family: Archaeal small subunit ribosomal RNA
Source: RNAcentral
ACACGACUACAUUAGAUACCCGCGUAGUCCCAGCCCUAAACGAUGCGCGUUAGGUGUAUCGGUGACCACGUGUCACUGAGGUGCCGAAGGGAAACCGUGAAACGCACCGCCUGGGGAGUACGGUCGCAAGGCUGAAACUUAAAGGAAUUGGCGGGGGAGCACCGCAACGGGAGGAGCGUGCGGUUCAAUUGGAUUCAACGCCGGACAACUCACCAGGAGCGACGGUUACAUGAAGGCCAGGCUGAUGACCUUGCCUGAUUUUCCG